UGCAGUCGAACGGGGUCGGAACUUCGGUUCCGGCUUACGUGGCGCACGGGUGAGUAACACGUGGGAAUCUGCCCAUCUAUGGGGAAUAACUGCGGGAAACUGCAGCUAAUACCACAUACGCCCUUCGGGGGAAAGGCUUCGGCCGUAGAUGGAUGAGCCCGCGUCCGAUUAGCUAGUUGGUGGGGUAAUGGCCUACCAAGGCGACGAUCGGUAGCUGGUCUGAGAGGAUGAUCAGCCACACUGGGACUGAGACACGGCCCAGACUCCUACGGGAGGCAGCAGUGGGGAAUAUUGGACAAUGGGCGAAAGCCUGAUCCAGCAAUGCCGCGUGAGUGAUGAAGGUCUUCGGAUUGUAAAGCUCUUUCGACGGGGAAGAUAAUGACGGUACCCGUAGAAGAAGCCCCGGCUAACUUCGUGCCAGCAGCCGCGGUAAUACGAAGGGGGCUAGCGUUGUUCGGAUUUACUGGGCGUAAAGCGUGCGUAGGCGGCUUAUCAAGUCAGAAGUGAAAGCCCGGGGCUCAACUCCGGAAUGGCUUUUGAGACUGGUAGGCUGGAGUUCGGGAGAGGGUAGUGGAAUUCCCAGUGUAGAGGUGAAAUUCGUAGAUAUUGGGAAGAACACCGGUGGC
Molecule: ribosomal RNA, 626 nt
Filed under: uncultured bacterium
Lineage: Bacteria
Description: bacterial SSU rRNA
Rfam family: Bacterial small subunit ribosomal RNA
Source: RNAcentral